RNAcentral lists this transfer RNA (72 nucleotides) under Methanothrix sp. RNAcentral describes it as "tRNA-Val". It matches the Rfam family "tRNA". From Rfam's summary of the family: Transfer RNA (tRNA) molecules are approximately 80 nucleotides in length. Their secondary structure includes four short double-helical elements and three loops (D, anti-codon, and T loops). The record is from RNAcentral. RNAcentral also lists the same sequence under 5 other names. Lineage: Archaea; Methanobacteriati; Methanobacteriota; Methanomicrobia; Methanotrichales; Methanotrichaceae.
GGGCCCGUAGUCGAUUGGUAAGACGUCUCCCUGACACGGAGAAGACAUGGAGUUCGAUUCUCCACGGGCCCA